This 76-nucleotide transfer RNA is filed under the name Planctomycetota bacterium. Its description in RNAcentral is "Planctomycetes bacterium tRNA-Val". It matches the Rfam family "tRNA". Rfam says of the family: Transfer RNA (tRNA) molecules are approximately 80 nucleotides in length. Lineage: Bacteria; Pseudomonadati; Planctomycetota. RNAcentral also lists the same sequence under 1 other name. The record is from RNAcentral.
GGGCAUAUAGCUCAGUCGGCAGAGCGCUACGCUCACAUCGUAGAGGUCCCUGGUUCGAGUCCAGGUAUGCCCACCA